CGAUCAAAAGUGAUCCAUCCAUUCGGACGUUGUCCUCAUUUUGACAAAUCUCUCGUCACUCCAAUGGCCAAAUUUUUCAAAUUAUUUUUCACUCAAUGAGUUGAUCAGAUCCGUCAGGUAUGGUAUAGUGCUUCCCUAGAGGAUUGCAUUUUCAUGCUAGGCCUACCCUUGGCAUAAAAAGGGUUCCCCCAUAGGACAUGCAUACCGAUUUUUUUUAUUCUUACUUACUGACUCUGGGUAUUUUUCUUUUUGUUUUCCCCUCCCCCUGCAUUUAUAAAAAUGUUUCAAUAAGGCGAGAAUAUUC
RNAcentral lists this long non-coding RNA (304 nucleotides) under Coffea arabica (coffee). RNAcentral's name for it is "long non-coding RNA (CARA_LNC000594)". Lineage: Eukaryota; Viridiplantae; Streptophyta; Magnoliopsida; Gentianales; Rubiaceae. The record is from RNAcentral.